GUAAGUCUUAUAUCACAACCACCUCCUAAAAUCAAAAUGGAGCUGUUUCUGUAGGAGUCAGACUACCUCCUUUAGAGGAUAUGGGAGUAGUCCAUCACUCAUUCAGACAGUUUUAUUAAGCGUGAUAUAGUCUACCUCUCUCAGCACUGGGCGUGGUGCAUCUCCUAUUGUUAGGCAAUUCCCUUACUUCCUGAUCCUUCAAUUCACUUACUUCCUGAUCCUUCAAUUCACUUUCUUUAUAAUUACGAAAUGGUCUGAGAUAACCAGGUUCCCCUUGCUCAAGCUUCCAAAAAUCAGGCUGACAAGUUACAUUUGGACAUCUGCUCUUCAAAAGCCAAAGGCAGAGUUUUCUGUUAAAUAAUGAGCUGUCCAAGCAUAUUUUGAUUCAUUCAGGCCACAUACAGCAGCAGGAGUUUCUGGGUGGUGCCUCAGGUCUAAAUUUUACUGUAAUCCUACAGGUUAGAAAUCAAUGAGCUGAUCAGAACAUAUCCAGUUUCCAAAGAUAUGAGUGGCACCAUCAAUAUAAAUUAGUUCUCCAGUAAUGUCAAAGGGCACACUUAGCAGUGCUGUCAGAACAACCAGAAAAACCACAUUCAAAAGGGAACACAGCCUAAGGCACACAACUCAUGAUAAAUACCUGGGAAAAAACCAGUUAGCUCUGCCUUUAGCUGUUCCCACCCCAAUUUUCACGAUUAAAACUACAAUCGACAUACUAAUUAGUCGGCAGACAUCUCUAUAAUGUUUAUACUCCUAAAAAACAUGUUAUGUUGGUUAACUGAACCUAUACAAUACUUAGAAAUCUCCCUAAAGUUAUCCUAAAAACAAAACAAAAACAAAAACUUUGCAAGCUUUCUGAGUUCAAACCUGUAAUUUUGUUACCUAUCAGUGCUUUAUAAAAGAGCUAAGAUAAUUAUAAGGAACAAGCCUCCUAAAAUGUAAAAUUCCAUUGUUCCUCUACUACCCGCCCAUCAGUGGCAAAUAAACACCUUACCAUGACAUUCACUGUGAGUAUUGCUAGCGGGAGAAGUGGAGGAGAAAGCAGUCAAUUAUACCUGAUGAUCAGGGAUGGAGAGAGACAGGAGGGAUGCUGAGUUGGCCUUGAAGGUCAAGUCCCAAGCUGGGCCACUAUCUGAUUGGGAGAUAGAAAGUGAGAGGAGAAAGGCAUUUCUGGAAAGAAAUCCCUGGGGGCAAAUAUUCUGCAGCACUGAAGGCACACAGGAUUAGUUCAGUUACUAAAGUGCGGGUAGACAGGGGAGGAAGAAGAAGAGAGUUGGAAGAGGAGACUGGAAAGCAGACUGAGGCAAGGCUGGGAAGGCCUUGGGUGCUAGCGGCAUUUGGAAUUUGUGUGCUAAGCAGGGAGAGGCCAUCUGAGUUCUCCCAUGCAUUGAGUAAACAACACGUCCCGACCUCGUGGCAGGUAUUCAGUCAGCUGCUGGUGAGCAACGUGGCUCCUGUCCCUAUGAAGCUUAAAGUCUAAGGUAAGGCAGACCCUAGGAAUUCGGCGCACAGAAGCCUCUCUGCUGUGAUGGAGAAGUAACAGGGACGAUGAGGACAUAGAGCAGGGAAGGGGGCCUAGGAAGCUAUUCUGGAAGAAGUGAGUUGGUUCCUGAAGUUGAAGCACCUGCAGAGGUGAGGAGGUGGGGAGCAGAAGUGCAGGAUCCAUCUGUGCAAAGAGGCUGGGGCCUCAACAACAUGAACUGUUUUAAUCAGAUUUGCAUUUUAGAAAUGAUAACCCUAGGCCUGGAGCGGUGGCUCAUGCCUGUAAUUCCAACACUACGGGAGGCAGAGGCUCUACUAACAAAUCUCUACUAAAAAUACAAAAAUUAGCUGGGUGUGGUGGUGCAUGCCUGUAAUUCCAGCUACUCAGGAGGCUGAAGCAGGAAAAUCUCUUAACACAGGAGGCAGAGGACGCAGUGAGCCAAGAUCACACCAUUGCACUCCAGCCUGGGUGACAGAGCGAGACUCUGUCUUAAAAAAAAAAAAAAAAAGAAAAGAAAGAAAUGAUAACCCUGACCAAGGACUCCAGGAAAAGAUGGUGUUAAUCUGUGGCCAAGACAAGAGUGCAGAAAGUCCUUACUGUCCUCUGGCAACAGGGGCCAAAGGCGGAGGCUAAUAAGGUGGUGCAGACAGAAAGGGUGGGAUUUCUGGCAGAACUUUCAGAGGCAGAGGCAGCAUUUUACAACUCACUUCAUCCGGGCAGGGGGUCUGGGAGGAAAAACAUUGAAAAAGGUGCCCAGUUUCUAGCCUUAGCAACUGCUGCAGGCAGCUGAACUCUGCAAGGGUUCUUAUUUGGCCCUGACAUUCUAUACGCACUUAUUAGCAUUUUAUUCAAGAAGAGGGUGGUUCCCCCAAAUGUUUCCAUAUUUAGCCAAAGGAAGCUAAAUUUCAAACUUCAAGUGUCUACUCAAACCUAAGACUGAACCCCUCAAUUUCCCUCAUAACUCCAUUAUCCCCCAGGCUUCCUCACGUCAGUAAAAGGCAACCCCAUCUCCCAGGUGCUCAUGCCAAACACCUAGAGUCAUGCUGGAGUCUCAUCUUCCCUCCUACCCUGCUCCCUAUUCAUCCGUAAGCCCUAGGCUCUGCCUUCCAAAUGUUUCCAGAACCUAAAACCUCUCCUCACCUCCCUGCAAGCUGCUUGGCUGAAGCUCUGUUCUCCCUCACCCGGAUUAGAGGUAGCCCCAGACAGCAUGCCCUUCAGUCUAGCUCCAACAUGGAGGGCAGGCUGAUUCUUUCCAAAGGUAAUCAGAUGGAGUUACUCCUCGGCUCGAAACUCUGCAGUGGGUUCUCACUUCUCUCAGAGUAAAACCCAAAAUCUACCUGCUCUCUUUCCCUCUCAUCUACAGCCACCCUGCUGUCUCCCUGGUCCUGGAGCUUGGGGCCACACAGUGUCUGUUCCUGUACCUGGAAUGCUCUUCCCCCGUAGCCACAAGGCUUAGCCCCUCACCUUACUGUCCUAGCUCUAAUGUCACCUUUUUAGGAGCCCAAUCAAUCACCACCAUAUUUAAACCCCAGCCUUGCCAGUCCCCCUUCUUUACAUUGUUGUCCAUAGCACUUCUCAUCUGCUAUCAGACUUUAAAAUUUAUUAGGCUGGGCACAGUGGCUCAUGCCUAUAAUCCCAGCACUUUGGGAGGCCAAGGCAGGUGGAACACCUGAGGUCAGGAGUCUGAGACCAGCCUGGCCAACAUGGCGAAGCCCCGUCUCUACAAAAAUACAAAAAUUAGCUGGACAUGAUGGUGUGUGCCUGUAAUCCCAGCUACAUGGUAGGCUGGGGCAGGAGAACUGCUUGAACCUGGAGGCGGAGGUUGCAGUGAGCUGAGAUUGUGCCAUUGCACUCCAGCCUGGGCGACAGAGUGUGAGACUCCAUCUCAAAAAUAAAUAAAAUUUAUUUAUUAAUAAUCUCUUCUAACCGGAAUGUACACUCCCAGAGCAAAGGGAUUUUUGCUUAUUUUGUUUAGCUACAUCCCCAGCACCCAGAAUACAGUACAAUGUACGGUAACUAUCUUACAGAUGUUUGUUGACUGAAUGAAAAGUCACCUAUUAAUAAGGCUCCCUGAGUCACCUGGACAAAAUAGUAAGCCCUCACCUCUUUUGCCCUUCAUGCUUAUUUAUUUUUCCUUGCAUAUAUCAUCAACGUGUGAUAAAUGUUAAUACCACAUAUUAGUGUGUUUAUUCUCUUCUCCACACAAGAAUGCCAACUCCAUAGGGGCAGGAAUCUUGUCUCUUUUCUCUUUGUUGUAUGAUGAACACCCAGGACAGAGCCUGGCACAGAGGAGAUGAGAAAGAGAAGGAAGGAGAGACAGAGGUCAGGUGUGGUGGCUCAUGCCUGUAAUCCCAACACUUUGGGAGGCCAAGAGGGGUGCACUGCUUGAGCCUGGAGAGUUCGAGACCAGCUUGGGCAACAUGGUGAAACCCCGUCUCUACAAAAAGUACAAAAAUAGUAGUUGGGCGUGGUGGCAUGUGCCUGUAGUCCCAGCUACUUGAAAAGCUGAGUCGGGAGGAUUGCUUGAGCCCAGGGGUCAAGGCUGCAGUGAGCAAUGAUCAUGUCAUUGCAGUCCAGCCUGGGUGACAGAUGGAGACCCUGUCUCAAAAAAAGAAAAGAGAAAGAGAAGGAAGGAGGGGGAGAGAGACGAAAGAAAGAAAAAGAAAGGAGGAGGGAAGGAGGAAGGAGAGGGGCGGAAUGGAGGGAAAAGGAGAAGGAAAGACAGAAGAAGGAAGAGAGGGAGGAAGGGAGAAGGGAGGAAAGAGAAAGAAGGAGACAGGGAGUGCGGAAAGAAAUAGAAAGGAGGAAGGAAUUCUAACUCCAUAUUAUCAAGGUCACAGAUGAGUAGCCUAAAAUAAAAAAUUGGUUGUUCUACCUAGAGCAAGAGAUUCUGUCAGGAUUCUGUCAGAGAGCAGUGAAACAACUGGCCAUGUUUUUUUUUUUUUUUUUUUGAAAUGGAGUUUCGCUCUUGUUGCCCAGGCUGGAGUGCAAUGGUGCAUUCUCAGCUCACUGCAACCUCCACCUCCUGGGUUCAAGCAAUUCUCCUGCCUCAGCCUCCCAAGUAGCUGAGAUUACAGACAUGUGCCACCACACCCGGCUAAUUUUGCAUUUUUAGUAGAGACGGCGUUUCUCCAUAUUGAUCAGGCUGGUCUCAAACUCCCGACCUCAGGUGAUCCGCCUGCCUUGGCCUCCCAAAGUGCUGGGAUUACAGGCGUGAGCUGCUGCGCCCAGCCUAGGCAUUUCUUUAAAAUCUAUCCAUUCAUGUGCUCCAUUAGUCAAAAUAAAAGGCAAUAUCUAGUAAUGAUGCCAGGAUAAGGAGUAGGCUACAUUGGAUUCUAAUCAAAGGAGGCAUGAGUCACUGAAAAACCAUCAUCAUUUGUUGGCUGCUUUCUUCUAUAGUUUCUGAACAAUAAAUAAGAAGGAUUGGCCAAUCUUGUUACUUGGCAUAAUAAACCAGGUAAGCAUACUUGAUGAUUCAAUUCCAUUUGGAACCGAUACUACACGUUAAGGAAACAAAACUAACAUUGGCAUUCAGCUGAGUUCUGUCCAACGACCCUUUGCCUCCACUGUGUCUUGUUGGGCAUGCUGCUAUAAUUUUAAAGGUAAUGACUGUAAUAGUACCACCUCGCAUUCAUGUGAGUUCACGUGAAUUAGGCUUCUACCACUCUUGAAAGUAAUUUUAAUUAUCUCGUUUAAUGACCUUCACCUUGCAGGAAAGAAACAGAGACAUGAAGAGGUUAAGACAAGUGACGGAGGUCUCAGGGCCAGGCAGGGAAAGAGUGACUUGUUUUGGAGGGUGGGAGCCCACCCACACAAUCAACCACAGUCACCCAGAUCUGCCCACUGAGCAUGCCUGCCCCUCGUCCUGACAUAACUGAUUAGGAAAUGAUUUCUAAAUGGUCAAGAGUCCAGCCUCGAUAGCCACUUCUCUGAUUCCAACAGAAUUUCUACAGAAGACAAUUUCCUUGUCUCAGCAAGGAGGGAAUACAGAUGAAUUGGCAGGAUCAGGAGCAGCCAUGUUGCACCAAGAGAAGAUGAAAAAAGCAUAUGUUGCAGAUUGCAAAGUAACUAGAAAUGAGUAUAUAAGUUGCUAUGGUGAUGGUUGUCAACUGGACCACAGAGCUGGACUGGACCUUCAAUGGGGUGAAAAGUAGGUAACCCCUGCUGCCUGUGAGAGGUAAGACAUCCAGCAUCUCAUCAAACUGAUGCUAAAGAAAGAUUUUCUGCUCCCUGUAACAUAAAAGGAUUUUACUGCAUGGGUAUAUCAGUAAGUGCAUUUAGGUCAACAAACAGUUCUACUCAACAACCACACAAUAUGUAGAGCUUGCUCAAGCAAAUUGUGUGAUAACCAUGUGCUUUUAUAGACAAUGUAAGUCAUUGCUACAUAUUAUUUGUAAUGAUUGUUGGCUUGUUUAGUGCGGUUCCAGGUCUUUUAAUCCCUUCACAUAUGACCCCAAAUUUGAGAAGUCUGUCAGAUAUCCAAGU
This 5965-nucleotide long non-coding RNA is filed under the name Homo sapiens (human). RNAcentral describes it as "HSALNT0251790". The record is from RNAcentral. Lineage: Eukaryota; Metazoa; Chordata; Mammalia; Primates; Hominidae.